RNAcentral lists this long non-coding RNA (10979 nucleotides) under Homo sapiens (human). RNAcentral's name for it is "KHDC1 antisense RNA 1, transcript variant 30 (KHDC1-AS1)". Lineage: Eukaryota; Metazoa; Chordata; Mammalia; Primates; Hominidae. The record is from RNAcentral.
AAGCAACCCAGAGCCCUCCUCCCGCCUGCUCUGUGUAGGAGACAGCCUGCGGAGCCCACUGCCGGCGCGCAGAGAGCCCAGCAGCUCUUGAGUCCAGGAAGCAAGGGUGGGAGGAGGGACGAGCCAGUGGCAAUGACCCAGACCCGGACGACCCCCAUUGCUGAGCCAGCGGAGCUGCUUGGAGGCAGAGGUUGCAGUGAGCUGAGAUUUUGCGACUACACUCCAACCUGGGCAACAGAGCGGGACUCCAUUCCAAAAAAAUAAGAAAAACAGAAAAAUAAUAAUUACAUCUGCAAAGACCUUAUUUCCAGGCUCAAGCAGAGUCUUCCUCCUGGUGUUCCAGAAGGAGUUCAAGGUCCUGCUCCAUAUGGGACAGCUAGAUUCUGAGGGCAAUGUUGAGAUCCUCAUCUCCAGAAGGUGCUGGUGCCAGAAAUAUGACAAAAGGCUGAUUGACGGGCCAGGCGCGGUGGCUCACGCCUGUAUUCCCAGCACUUUGGGAGGCCAAGGCGGGUGGAUCAUGAGGUCAAGAGUUCGAGACCAUCCUGGCCAAUAUGGUGAAACCCUGUCUCUACUAAAAAUACAAAAAAUUAGCUGGGCGUGGUGGCACGCAUCUGUAGUCCCAACUACUUGGGAGGCUGAGGCAGGAGAAUUGCUUGAACCGGGAGGAGGAGGUUGCAGUGAGCAGAGAUCGUGCCACUGCUCUCCAGCCUGGGCGGCAGACUGAGUGAGAUUCUGUCUAAAAAAAAAGAGGCCUGGUGUGGCGGCUCAGGCCUGUAAUCCUAGCACUUUGGGAGGCUGAGGCAGGUGGAUUGCCUGAGGUCAAGAGGUCAGGACCAGCCUGUCCAACAUGGUGAAACCCCAUCUCUACUAAAAAUGCAAAAAUUAGCCAGAUGUGGUGGCACAUGCUUGUAAUCCCAGCUACUUCGGAGGCUGAGGCAGGAGAAUCGCUUGAACCCAGAGUGUGGAAGUUGCAGUGAACCAAGAUCAUGCCACUUCACUCCAACCUGGGCGAAAGAGCAAAACUUCAUCUCAAAAAAAGAAAAGUAUUUAAAAAAAAAAAAACUAGCCAGGCUUUGUAGCAUGUGCCUGUUGCCCCUUCUAAUUGGAAGGCUGAGGUGGGAAGAUCACUUGAGCUUGGGAGGUUAAGGCUGCAGUGAGCAGUGGUUGCACCACCUCACUCCAACCUGGGGUCAGAAGGAGACCCUAUCUCAAAAAAAACAACUUUGUAAACUGUGAUCCACACCUCAGUGCAGUGGGAUAAAACUGUCCAGUAGCCUUGGCCUCCGAGGCCCUGUCUGAAUCCUCCUUUUUUGCACCUGUAGCUAAAGGGCAGCAAGUGUUUUCUGUACUCUAUAUUCACUUUUAGACAAGUCACUUUUAGAGACUUGUUUAAAGAUUCAAAAUGAGUUAUAAUAAAAAAUAAAUGUAAAAUAUACCUAGCAAUUGGUAUCGAUUGACAAGAAAGCUUUCUUUGCUUGUUCCCACAUGAAGAAAAAAGGUGAAGAAUUACAAAAGCACAGACUCCCUUUUUUUGGUAAGAUGGCGGGGUACGACUUAACUACUCGCAUCACGCACCUUUUGGAUCGGCAUCUAGUCUUUCCGCUCCUUGAGUUUCUCUCUGUAAAGGAGAUAUAUAAAGAAAAGGAAUUAUUACAAGGUAAAUUGGACCUUCUUAGUGAUGCCAACAUGGUAGACUUUGCUAUGGAUGCAUACAAAAACCUUUAUUCUGAUGAUAUUCCUCAUGCUUUGAAAGAGAAUAGAACCACAGUUGUUGCACAACUGAAACAGCUUCAGGCAGAAACAGAACUAAUUGUGAAAAUGUUUGAAGAUCCAGAAACGACAAGGCAAAUGCGGUCAACCAGGGAUGGUAGGAUGCUCUUUGACUACCUGGCGGACAAGCAUGGUUUUAGGCAGGAGUAUUUAGAUACAUUCUACACAUAUGCAAAAUUCCAGUAUGAAUGUGGGAAUUACUCAGGAGCAGCAGAAUAUCUUUAUUUUUUCAGAGUGUUGGUUCCAGCAACAGACAGAAAUGCUGUAAGUUCACUCUGGGGAAAGCUGGCCUCUGAAAUCUUAAAGCAGAAUUGGGAUGCAGACAUGGAAGACCUUACAUGGUUAAAAGAGACCAUAGAUAAUAAUUCUGUGAGUUCUCCACUCCAGUCUCUUCAGCAGAGAGCAUGGCUCGUUCACUGGUCUCUGUUUUCUUCAAUCACCCCAAAGGUUGUGAUAAUAUUGUUGAUCUCUUCCUUUACCAGCCACAGCAUCUUAAUGUGUCCACACAUUCUUCACUAUUUGACUACAGCAGUCAUAGCAAACAAGGAUGUUCGAAAACGUUGGCAGGUGCUAAAAGAUCUAGGUAAAGUUACUCAACAGGAGUCUUACACAUAUAAAGACCCAAUUACAGAAUUUGUUGAAUGCUUAUAGAUUAACUUUGACUUAGAUGGGGCUAAGAAAAAGCUGAGAGAAUGUGAAUCAGUGCUUGUGAACGACUUCUUGGUGGCUUGUCUUAAGGAUUUCAUUGACAAUGCCCAUCUCUUCAUAUUUGAGACUUUCUGUCACAUCCACCAGUGUAUCAGCAUUAACAUGUUGGCAGACAAAUUGAACAUGACUCCAGAUGAAACUGAAAGGUGGAUUGUAAAUGUGAUUAGAAAUGCAAGACUGGAUGCCAAGAUUGAUUCUAAAUUAGGUCAUGUGGUUAUGGUAACAAUGUACUCUCACCCUAUCAGCAAGUGAUUGAAAAGACCAAAAGCCUUUCUUUUAGAAGCUAGAUUUUGGCCAUGAAUAUUGAGAAGAAACUUAAUGACAAUAGCAGGUCAGAGGCUCCUAACUGGGCAACUCAAGAUUCUGGCUUCUACUGAAGAAACAUAAGGAAAAGAUUUUAAAAAAACUCUAAAAGAAAGAUGAAAUAAUAAAACUAUUAUAUAAAGGGUGACUUACAUUUUGGAAACAACAUAUUGAGUGUAAAUUGUGAAGAAUUGGAAUAAAAUUGACUGAUUCAAAAAAAUUUAAUUCACAAAAAAAUUUUAAUCCUUUUAAGCUAAUUAUAGAUUCACAUGUAGUUGUAAGAAGUUACAAAGAGGCUAGGUGCAGUAGCUGACGCCCAUGAUCCCCGCACUUUGGGAGGCCGAGGCAGGCAGAUCUCUUGAGGCCAGGAGUUUGAGACUAGCCUGGCCAACAUGGCAAAACCCCAUCUCUACAAAAAAUUAGCAAAGCAUGGUGGCACAUGCCUGUAAUUACAGCUACUUGGGAGGCUGAGGCAUGAGAAUCACUUGACCUGGGAUUACAAGUGUAAUCCCAGCCAUAGGCUGGGUGCAGUGGCUCACACCUGUAAUCCCAGCACUUUGGGAGGCCAAGGUACGGGUGGAUCACCUGAGGUCAAGAGUUCAAGACCAGCCUGGCCAACAUGGUGAAACCCCGUCUCUACAAAAACACAAAAAUUAGCCGGGCAUGAUGGUGCGCACCUGUAAUCCCAGCUACUCAGGAGGCUGAGGCAGGAGAAUCGCAUGAACCCAGGAGGCAGAUGUUGCAGUGAGCCAAGAUCACGCCAUUGCACUCCAGCCUGGGCAACAGAGUGAGACUCCACCUCAAAAAAAAAAAAACAAAAAAAAACCACCAGCCAUUUGGGAAGCCAAGGCAGGAUUGCUUGAGACCAACCAGAAGUUCAAGGUUGCCUGGGCAACAGAGCAAGACUGUCUCGAGACAAAACAAAAAGUCAGCAUCUUCUGCCCACUUUUACUUUAACAUACAUUUAUGGAUCUAUUGUCUCUUUCCCUGUUCUAAAACUUUAAAUUUCACAAGAAUGAAGAUUUUGCUGUCUUGUUUCCUGCUGUGUCCCCAGCAUAAACAGCAUAAAGAAGUGCCAUAAGAUAGAAAUUUUUGUUUUCUGUUCACCAGUAUAUCCACAGCACCUAGAACAGCAUCUGCUUUAGACUUAUUAGAUGAAGACUUAAAAAAAAAAGGAACAGCACUUCUGCACAUAUUUAGCACUUGAUACAUAUUUGUGGAAUAAUUUCUAUCAUAACUAGCAGCUACUUCCUAAUUUGAUAUGUAGCAUCCCGUAUUAACAGGACUUUUGUGAAUGGAGAGGACAUCUAUUUAUUCUUUGUUAUGUGCCAAAUAUAUUUGUAUUAAUCAUAACUCUUAAUAUUCCUUUAAAAUUAAAUAAUUGUUUCCACAGCUCUUAAAAUAGAAUUUAGGAACCUAGCAACAUGCCACUCAUCCAUUAACAGUGAUAAAUUAUUUAAUUUUAUAAACUUUUCAUUAAAGUAACUGAUAUAGUUUGGAUAUGUGUACCUGCCCAAAUCUCAUGUUGAAUUGUAAUCCCCAGUGUUGGAGGUGGGGCCUCACGGGAGUUGACUGGAUCAUGGGGGCAGCUUUCUCAUGAAUGGUUUAGCACCAUCCACUUGGUGCUGUUCUCAUGAUAGUGAGUUCUCAUGGUGUCUGGUCAUUUAAAAGCAUGUGGCAUGGCUCACACCUGUAACCCCAACACUUUGGGAAGCCAAGGUGGGCAGAUUGCUUGAGUCCAGGAGUUAGAGACCAGCCUGGUCAACAUAGCAAAACCCUGUCUCUCUGAAAAAUAUAAAAAGUCACCAGGUGUGGUGGCACACACCUGUGGUCCCAGCUACUUGGGAGGCUGAGGUGGGAGGAUCACUUGAACCGGGAGUUGGAUGUUGCCAUGAGCCAACAUCCCAGACACUGCACUCCAGUCUGGCGACAGAGCAAGACCCUGUCUCAAAACAACCACAAUAACAAAAAGCUGUUGACACCUCCCCUGCAACUUCUUGCUCCUGCUCUGGCCAUGUGAUGUGCCUACUCCUCCUUCAUCUUACACCAUGAUUGUAAGUUUCCUGAGGCCUCCCCAGGAGCCAAGCAGAUGCCAGCAUCAUGCUUCCUGUACAUCCUGCAGACUCGAGAGCCAAUUAGACCUCUUGUCAUUAUAAAUUACCCAAUCUCAGGUAUUUUUUUUACAGCAAUGCAAGAAUGCACUAAUAACGAAUCUAGGUCGGGCACAGUGGCUCACGCCUGUAAUCCCAGCACUUUGGCAGGCCCCAGGCAGGAGGAUUACUUGAACUCAGGAGUUUGAGACCAGCCUGGGCAACAUAACAAGACCCUCUCCAUGUUGGGGUCUCUUUAAAAACACACACAGCUGGGCGCGGUGGCUCACGCCUGUAAUCCUAGCACUUUGGGAGGCCAAGGCGGGCGGAUUACCUGAGGUCAGGAGUUCGACACCCGCCUGGCUAACAUGGUGAAACCCCAUCUUUACUAAUGAUACAAAAAUUAGCUGGGCCUGGUGGCACACACCUGUAGUCCCAGCUACUCGGGAGGUUGAGGCAGGAGAAUCACUUGAACCUGAGAGGCAGAGGUUACAGUGAGCUGAGAUCAUGCCACUGCACUCCAGCCUGGGCAACAGAGUGAUACUCCAUCUCAAAAAGAAAAAAAAGGCGGGGCACGGUGGCUCACGCCUGUUAUCCCAGCACUCUGGGAGGCCGAGGUGGGUGGAUCACCUGAGGUCAGGAGUUCAAGACCAGCCUGCCCAACAUGGUGAAACCCCAUCUCUACUAAAAAUACAAAAAUUAGCCAGCCAUGGUGGCAGGCACCUGUAAUCCCAGCUACUCGGGAGGCUGAGGCAGGAGAAUCGCUUGAGCCUGGGAGGCGGAGGUUGCAGUGAGCCGAGAUCGUGCCACUGCACUCCAGCCUGGGUGAUAGAGUGAGACUGCAUUUCAAAAAACUAAAAAGAAAACACACACACACACGGCCAGGUGCGGUGGCUCAUGUCUAUAAUCCUAGCACUUUGGGAGGCCGAGGUGGGCAAAUCAUUUGAGGCCAAGAGUUCGAGACCAGCCUGGGCAACAUGGCAAUACCCUGUCUCCUCUAAAAAUAUAAAAAUUAGCCAGGUGUAAUGGCACAUAUCUAGUCCCAGCUACUCAGGAGGCUGAGGCAGGAGAAUCACUUGAACCCAGGAGGCAGAGGUUGCAGUGAGCCAAGAUCAUGCCACUGCACUGUAGCCUGGGUGACAGAGUGAGACUCCAUCAAAAAAAAAUUAAACACACACAUACACAAAUCUAAUGUAUCAGAUAUCCUUAAAUGCUUCUAACACUGAAAAUGAGAUGAAUAUCACAACUAGAAUGGUUAUCACAUUAUACAUAAGUGGGUUGCAAAAACUGAUUUUAUUAUACACGUAUACUUUUUAAUUUACAUUUGGAUUCAAACUUUUUUUAUUAUACACUCCUGGCAUAUGUAACAUUCAGAUAGUUCUCUUUCUAGCACUAUGAUAAUCUCAUCAGAUCCCAAGAGUUGGGGAGGAGGACUUGAUUUCAGACUAUCCAGUUUGCAAAUCCACAUCACAUAUGCCUUUACGAAUUAUUUUGAAUAGGUAGUAUGCAUUACACAAACACUAUACAGUGAAGUCUUUUUCAACCUCUCUCAGUUAAUUAUAUCUUCUCAAAACUAUUCUACGCAAACACAAAGACAUAUGUACUAUAUGUUUUUGUUUUUGUUUUGAGACAGAGUCUCACUCUGUCACCUAGGCAGAGUGCGGCAGUGCGAUCUCAGCUCACUGCAACCUCUGCCUCCUGAGUUCAAGCAAUUCUCCUGCCUCAGCCUCCCAAGUAGCUGAGAUUACAGGCACGUGCCACCAUGCCUGGCUAAAUUUUGUACUUUUAGUAGAGAUGAGGUUUUGCCACGUUGGCCAGACUGGUCUCAAACCCCUGACCUCAGGUGAUAGGCCCACCUCGGCCUCCCAAAGUGCUAGGAUUACAGUCAUGAGCCAUCAUUACCAGCCUACUAUAUAUAUAUUUUUUAACACUGUAUACAAUACACACAGUUUGCACCUUUUUUUUCUUCAUUUAAUAAUGUAUCUUGAGGAUUGUUGCAUUUGGCACUUCAUCUAAAUACAAAUUAUUUUUUCUCCCACUAAAAUAUAGAUUUCAUGAUGAUGAGCACUUAUCUUUUCACUGCUUUUUAUUUUUAAAUGUGUUUUUCUGUUGUUUCAUGAAUAUUUAGUUUGUAUGCUAUCUUUUGCCUUUGUCAGUAAUGCUGUUGCAAUCAAUAUCCUUGUACACGUCAAUUCUUACAAGUAGGAGUAUAAAUACAGGAUGAAAUUCCAAACGUAGAUUUGCUGUGUCAAGGGGUGUGUACCUUUCCAAUUGAUAAGGUAUUGCCAAAUGUCUUCCCAUUGAGGUUGAACCAAUUUAUAUACUCACUAGCCUUGUUGCUAACAUUAUAACACAAGAAGCAUUAAAAUUGAUUUUUGAACAAAAUCAAUGUAUAUGCUUUUAAGUGUUCUUUCUUUUUAAAAAAUCAUUAUUGGAAAAUGCAAGCAGGAAUACAUGGCAAGCAGAGCCCAUGCAAUGGCCAGAAUUCCUACAGCAGAAAUGACUUCAACAUUUGUUUAUAAAGAUUUUCUCCAAAUGAUUUGUUGAAAUAACUUGAGUCUUCAAGGUUUAAUUUUCCAAAUGUUGGCUCAAACCUGCACUGAAAUUCUGGCCUACGGUGUCCUAGCAAAAAUCUCCCUUUGCAAGAUGCUGAGGUAUAUUGGCAAAACCGCAGAUCACAUGACUCCGGGAGUUUGAGACCAGCCUCGCCAACAUGGUGAAAUCCUGUCUCUACUAAAAAUACUAAAAUUAGCCGGGCAUGGUGGGGCAUGCCCGUAUUCCCAGCUACUCAGGAGGCUGAGACAGAAGAAUCCUUGAACCUGGGAGGCAGAGGUUGCAGUGAAGGUGACAAAACGAGACUCUGUCUAAAAAAAAAAGUAGAGGUCAAGGCAAUCAUUCCUAGGGACCAGGUAGAACCCAACUGGAGAGGAAGAUGACACAAUUCAACAUGCUAUGGAGGAGGGAGAGUAGGUUUUAUCCAGGAUCACAUGGGACAAAUGCAAGGACAGGCUCAAGUUUCCCACAUGCAGCAUUUCUCAAUCCCAUUUUCCUUGGCAAGAGUUCUUCCCAUUACUAGGCUAUUCCAAUAUAGACUAAGCUGUUGCCCUGGAAGGACUCUAUACUUUGCAAAUUUUUUUUUUUUUUUUUUUUUUUUUUUUUUGAGACAGAGUCUUGCUCUGUCACCCAGGCUGGAGUGCAGUGUCGCAAUCUUGGCUCACAGCAACCUCCGCCUCCCGGGUUCAAGCAAUUCUCCUGCCUCAGCCUCCCGAGUAGCUGGGAUUACAGGCACCCGCCACCACACUCGGCUAAUUUUUGUAUUUUUAGUACAGACGGGGUUUCACCAUGUCCGUCAGGGUCAGGAUCACCUGACCUCAGGUGACCCACCUGCCUCGGCCUUGCAAAGUGCUGGGAUUACAGGCUUGAGCCACUACGCCCGGCCUGUAAACUUUUAAGAUGUUAUUAGAGACAGGAUUCCGCUCUGUCACCCAGUCUGGAAUGCAGUGGUACAAUCAUAGCUCACUGCAGCCUCCAACUACUUAGCUCAAGCGAUCCUCCCGCCUCAGCCUCUCAAGUAGCUAGGAUUAUAUGGAGGAGCCACAGCCUGGGAAAUUUCUAAGUAAACAUAUACUAUUACACUCCUUACGGGGAGGAAGAGGAGGAGUGUGGGAUGUCGAAGACAGAGGAUGCAACUUGUAGAGAGUAAGUGAAUGAAGGGGGAAUUCCGGCAAGGAAUUGCCGACUUGAGGCUGACUUCAUCUUUCAGGGUCCACGAGGCUGGUGUCAGACCUAUUGGGAGACCCUCUGCGUUAGUGAGAAAAACGGCAAGAAAUGGGAGCACGCGGAAACCUCCAAGACUAGAGCCACCAGAUGCCACCGACAGCACGCAGCUGGACCAGCACGGGGGAGGGCCUUCGUGGGUCGAGAGCUCGCUCGGGAGAUAGUUGGUGCUUUUCUUUCAGGAGAAGAAUCCCUGGCGGAGUCUGACCGUUCUCUGGCGCACAGCCCCGGGGGUGGGCACAGCAGCCGCCCCUGCUGAAGGGACUGACGCCUCCGACGACCAGCAGCCAAGUUAAACGCACUGUUCCGUGAGCAGCUUUGUUGGAGACAGCGCGGUUCACAUUCUCUUCCAACGGAGCCGCUGACUGCGGAGCUGGGAGGGGACGUGACAGAACCCAGCCAUCCAACGUCCCCCCACCCCUCCCCAGCUGGGACCUCCGGCUGCUUCCGGGCUGCGCUGGGUGGCGUCAAGGAGCCGCCCCUCUGGGCCGCGUCCCUCCCUCACGCCCUGCACACUGGCCCUGUGUGGCCGGCGGGGCGCCUAAAAGGGCGGAAGGAUGCAGGGGCGGAGGGGGCUCGGGAUUGCACGCCUAGCUCAGACCCCCCAGCCAGGACCCCUCGCGCUGUUGGACACGCCAGCCUCCCGACCCUGCGGCUCCUACGGGAGGUGACAAGGACCCUGCCAACCUGGCCUGAAUGGCCCAGUUUGAUACAGAUCAGGUUUUCAAUGAAUGAGACCGCGGUGUGGUCUAGGCGGAGGGAUGAGAGGAGGGGAUUCUGCUGGGAUAAGUGGGGGCGGGGUAAGGAGGGGAUUCUUUUCCUGGGCUGAGGAGAACGCAGGGACAAAGUACACAGGGGUAGUUGAGUGAGCAGGUGAGGCCCUAGGCUGGUUCCCCACCUUCUCAGGAUCGGAGCCACUCACUUCCUGGUACUCUCUGCAGUCUCCUGGCGUUAAAUAACAUCCCUUUGCUGGAGACUCUGGAUUCACAUCCAUAAUCGCAGCCUCCCCUACUCAUCCCCUCACGCUUCCCAUGAACUAACCUUGAAGGACCCGACCAGAGCCCUGACCUCCGUCCCACACACCUGCUACAUGGAAGGUGUUCUCCACAUCAGUUCAAGGCAGUGUCACUCUUCAGGAUGUUCAGGCUCUAAACCUUGGACUCCUCCUCCAGAUUUCUCUCUCCUUCCUUCUCCUUGUCUCUCCCUUGCACUUACGGUUCACUUUUCCUUCGUAGCUUUGUAGCUCAUUCCCCCUUCCACUUUCCACACCACCUUCUGGUCUGUUAAUUAAAUAUUACCUGGUUUCCACUGACACCUUCCCUGGGUUCCCAAUUGAAAAUCACAACAUCAUCCUCCUCCUCUGCUUUUUUUCUCCAAAUUAUAUCCUCACCCAAUUAUGUGUUAUUCUCAUUAAUCUUGCUUAAUUAAUUAGCAGACAUUAUUAAUGCCUGUUUCCCCUAUCACCACCACUAGACUAUGAACUCCUAAGGACUCCUUCCUUCCACCACUGUUGUACUCGCUUCACCUAGAACUGCUUGGCACAUACAAUGUGCUCCAUAAAUAUUUGUUGAAUGAAAGACUAGACACAACUUAGGAUUCACUCCCCCAUGUGGCAUCCAUAAGCCCUGUAUGCAGGUAAAAUGUCAGUGGGUUGACUAAAUACUGGAAGUGGAAAAAACUUCACCUCUUUGGUUUGCAGUUGUCUAGGAUAUUUAGGCCAAUGGAAAAUCCAGUUUUCCUUAGAAUUAAGCCAGUGCCGCCAGACUUGCCAGUUUACCAUGCUUGUCUGACUGGUCCUCAGCAUGGGUCAUACGUGUCCAAUGAAUUCAAACAAAAUCUUGAGAAGACACGAACCUUGCCCUUCGGCUGGGCGCGGUGGCUCACGCCUGUAAUCCCAGCACUUUGGGAGGCCGAGGCAGGCGGAUCACGAGGUCAGGAGAUCGAGACCAUCCUGGCUAACAUGGUGAAACCCCGUCUCUACUAAAAAUACAAAAAAUUAGCCGAGCGUGGUGGCGGGCGCCUGUAGUCCCAGCUACUCAGGAGGCUGAGGCAGGAGAAUGGCGUGAACCCGGGAGGCGGAGCUUGCAGUGAGUGAGCCGAGAUCGCACCCCUGCACUCCAGCCUGGGCGACAGAGCGAGACUCCGUAAAAAAACAAAAAAAAAACCUUGCCCUUCAUUCCCCAUUUCUAUCAUAAUCUACACAGAGUUUUGAACAGGCAUUUUAAAAUCAACAAUAUAUUAUUUACAAUUUUGUUAGUAUACAUAACUCUAACUCACUGUUAAAAAUCACCUGUCUUUAUAUCCAUUAAAUGACACUUGCAUAUGCUCCAA